AUCGCUUCUCGGCCUUUUGGCUAAGAUCAAGUGUAGUAUCUGUUCUUAUCAGUUUCUUGCCUGCCAAAACUCCAUUGAAAGACUCCUA
This is a small nuclear RNA of Cavia aperea (Brazilian guinea pig), 88 nucleotides long. Its record names the gene U2. It matches the Rfam family "U2 spliceosomal RNA". Rfam says of the family: U2 is a small nuclear RNA (snRNA) component of the spliceosome (involved in pre-mRNA splicing). Complementary binding between U2 snRNA (in an area lying towards the 5' end but 3' to hairpin I) and the branchpoint sequence (BPS) of the intron results the bulging out of an unpaired adenosine, on the BPS, which initiates a nucleophilic attack at the intronic 5' splice site, thus starting the first of two transesterification reactions that mediate splicing. The record is from Ensembl. Lineage: Eukaryota; Metazoa; Chordata; Mammalia; Rodentia; Caviidae.